This 164-nucleotide ribosomal RNA is filed under the name Dendrobium parcum. RNAcentral's name for it is "5.8S ribosomal RNA". It matches the Rfam family "5.8S ribosomal RNA". Rfam says of the family: 5.8S ribosomal RNA (5.8S rRNA) is a component of the large subunit of the eukaryotic ribosome. It is transcribed by RNA polymerase I as part of the 45S precursor that also contains 18S and 28S rRNA. Functionally, it is thought that 5.8S rRNA may be involved in ribosome translocation. The record is from RNAcentral. Lineage: Eukaryota; Viridiplantae; Streptophyta; Magnoliopsida; Asparagales; Orchidaceae.
GACACGACUCUCGGCAAUGGAUAUCUCGGCUCUUGCAUCGAUGAAGAGCGCAGCGAAAUGCGAUACGUGGUGCGAAUUGCAGAAUCCCGCGAACCAUCGAAACUUUGAACGCAAGUUGCGCCCGAGGCUAUCCGGCCAAGGGCACGUCUGCCUGGGUGUCAUGC